This 497-nucleotide ribosomal RNA is filed under the name uncultured bacterium. RNAcentral's name for it is "partial 16S ribosomal RNA". It matches the Rfam family "Bacterial small subunit ribosomal RNA", at positions 28 to 507 of the family's 1533-position model. The record is from RNAcentral.
GAUGAACGCUGGCGGCGUGCCUAAUACAUGCAAGUCGAGCGAACGGACGAGAAGCUUGCUUCUCUGAUGUUAGCGGCGGACGGGUGAGUAACACGUGGAUAACCUACCUAUAAGACUGGGAUAACUUCGGGAAACCGGAGCUAAUACCGGAUAAUAUUAUGAACCGCAUGGUUCAAAAGUGAAAGACGGUCUUGCUGUCACUUAUAGAUGGAUCCGCGCUGCAUUAGCUAGUUGGUAAGGUAACGGCUUACCAAGGCAACGAUGCAUAGCCGACCUGAGAGGGUGAUCGGCCACACUGGAACUGAGACACGGUCCAGACUCCUACGGGAGGCAGCAGUAGGGAAUCUUCCGCAAUGGGCGAAAGCCUGACGGAUCAACGCCGCGUGAGUGAUGAAGGUCUUCGGAUCGUAAAACUCUGUUAUUAGGGAAGAACAUUUGUGUAAGUAACUGUGCACAUCUUGACGGUACCUAAUCAGAAAGCCACGGCUAACUACGUG